Unclassified non-coding RNA from Pocillopora damicornis (cauliflower coral), 3866 nucleotides. Lineage: Eukaryota; Metazoa; Cnidaria; Anthozoa; Scleractinia; Pocilloporidae. The record is from RefSeq and is a predicted model, not a curated record.
CAAACAACUUUUGCCGACUGAAAACACAUCUUCGCCACCUUCCAAGGAUUCAGUUCACUCCGUGCAGCAAACUCCGUUUGGCCGUGCGUGCAAGCGUGCGUCCGUGCAUCAAUAAACACUUCAAUGGCUUUCCAAGAGAAUUUUAAACACGAUGACGAGGAGAUGUUGGCAGAUCAAAGUUUUAAAACUGCCAAAAGCGACGAUGAACACAAUGAAAUCCUCACGGAGAGAGAACCGGACGAAGAUGAAGACGAAGGUCAAGAAAAAAACGAUUCAAGUUUAAGACAGCAAAGCUCUACCAGUGAAAACCGAAGACAAUCGUCUAUGUCCAAACCACCCUACUCUUACAUCGCUCUGAUCACAAUGGCUAUUCUGCAAUCACCGCAAAGAAAACUCACCCUAAGUGAAAUCUGCGACUUCAUCAAGCGCCGUUUUCCGUAUUACCGCGAAAAGUUCCCCUCGUGGCAAAAUUCCAUAAGGCAUAACCUCUCUCUGAACGAUUGUUUCAUGAAAAUGCCGCGCGAACCGGGAAAUCCUGGCAAAGGAAACUACUGGACAUUGGAUCCUGCCAGCGAGGGAAUGUUCGAUAACGGCAGUUUUCUGAGGAGGAGGAAAAGAUUUAAGAGACCGCGGCCACCUGAGGGAGCCGUCAGCGCCUUUGGGUUUCAGUACUACUGGAAUUGCAUGGACUCUUCAAGCUGGCGACCGCCUCUGUACUCACAUUUCUCAGUUCCAAGGUACCUGACAUGUUUACCGCCAGCUCUCGGCAGAUCAACAGACCCGCCUGUGUCAAGAGAAAGGCAAAGACCUGCAAAAUUCUCCAUCGCGAGUAUCAUCGGCUCGGAGACGGAAGAACACCGACCGCCGAAUAGCAAAGUAAGCCCUUCCUUGUCGUGUUGUUCUAACGUGCGUUCGAGUUACAGCAACACUGUUAGACCUUGCAUUGUAUCACCAAGUUCCUACUGUACAUACUGCAGCCAAAUGGCUGGGAAACGGUAGAACAAUUCUCUGAUUGAGUGAACUAUGCGGCACUGUAGUGUUUCUGGAUAAUUUCAGUUACUCUCCAAAGAUGUGAUGGUUUACUUGUUAAGCUGGAGUGUUUACCUUUUAAAGAUGUUUUUGAAUGGGCGCUGUUCGUUUUGGUAAGAAAAACAGCAUUGUGGUAUGAAGUAGAUCAAAGGAUUGAAAAAUUAUCACUCGUUGAGUGAUAGAAGUGUGUUGUCGCGCGCAAAAAGUAUUUCUUGUGCCAAGUUAGAUCAUCAGUACUAUUAUUCUUUCCUCCUCCUUCAGUCUAAUAAUAACUUUAAGAUCACCGAAAGCUCAGCAGUUAAUCUCAGAAAAAAAUUAUUUUGGCACAAUUUUCCUGGAGUUGAAACCCAUCAACUACAGAAACCUUUCAAAUUUGGUUUAUUUCAAAACAACAAAAACUGUACUGAUUUUGUCACACUCCUCCACUGCUAAAUGGCCCAAUAUCAUUUCGCUUUGUGUCAAAAGCUUUACAAUCAGAUGUCACGAAGUACAUUGUACCCUGACUAACAAAUCAAUGAACACGGAGAAUCUUAAAGCAAUUAUAAGCUUGGAGUCGAAGCACUUACAGACGCCUUGUACUCAAUUGUUUAGAGACCAAAACUUGCGCGAAAGGUUAAGAACUUUUGUAGUCGCCGCCGGUAAAUGAUUUAUUACAUGAAAUGCUCUCACAUGGAAUAAAAAAACUACACGAAACAAAAUUUCUGGAUCAUUCUCAGUAUGAGAAAAACAGUUUGGAUUUGAUUUAUAUGCGCAUCUAUCUCGAAUAUUCGAUCGUAUCAUCAUGGUAUUCCGGAAAAGUUAUGUUCCUCUCGGAUAAAUAAAACAACCCUGCCGAAUAUCUACCCACGAACUGAGAGAGUUUGGUUCAACUGAGAAUAUUUAUAUAGCUUAUCGUCUUUCAUUCAUAGCAAUAAAUUUUUGGCGAAGACCCUUUUCAACAGGCAGCCCACAGUUUUCGACGGAAACAAACUAAGACAGUUCACGACGUGGUCAGACCUGUUAAAAUAAAUCUUACAUAUGUGUAACCGUAGAAGUGUCAUGUACAACGUUCUGUUUUAUCUGAGAUAAAAAAUAUCAAUUCUCAUUACUUAAUGCGUCAAUUUUUCUUUAAGUCAUUACUGAGAAUUUUUGUGGAUCACAAUGCAAAUCUUGGAACACUGCCUGAUCGAUUAGCAAUAAAUUCACAACGAAAGAGCAAUAUCAGUUUAAUUGGCGAUUGUUACAGUUUUGUUUGCCUCACGUGCACGUGUUCCCACUAAAUUCUUGAAAUUAUUUGCAAUAGAAUGGGUAUAUCGGCUUUCAUGAAUAUAUGGCCGGGUCUAAGAAAAUCAAGAGAGGAAAGCAUGUAACAACAGACUAAGAUAACAUUACGCUGAAGUGGAGUUGCAUUUUGUUGUAGCUUAAACUAUAUAAUAACAUCAAAUGAGAGGUGUCCUUUCUGCCACACAUGUGGGACUUCAAAAUGGCUAAAACCGCCUGCCUACCUUUAUGGUGGAGAACUGAAGAUCCUAGUAAAAUAUUCGUCUUAGUGAGAGAAAGACAGCGAGUCCUGGCUUUGUUCAAGCUACACUAAAUUUGCGAAAUGUCUCUCAACAAAUUGUCUGUAUGACUUUAACAACUUCAAAUGAUAAUACUUAAUUGUGCGAGCAAAUGUCUCCUCGUAGGUCAGAAACAGGUCAACGAGUGUAUGCAUAGGGUACACUUGAUUGCAAUAGAAUAUGAACUUCAUCCUAAGCGCCCUCACUUUUCGUAAAAAUCACCAUAGUUUCUGUACUCCAUUAAUCACAUUUGGAUGUACCCGUGUACACGUCUCUCUCUUGACAAUAAUUGUUAGCGAGUUUUGAGUUACAUAUCAUCGUUUAUUAUUUAAGCAAAGUUAAAUAAAAUGUACUAUUUUCAUUUUGCUACUGAUUUAAAAAGGCAGAUUAUAAUUAUUGAUCCACCCUUGAGCAAAGUAUAACACUUAAUCUGUUUAAGGAAGUAUUCUCUAAUACGUAGAAAUUCUGAGGGGGGAAAUAUAUCCUUGAAAGUGUUACUAGCUCAAAAUUGAAGUUUGUAUACAGUUGUUUAUCGGAAAUAUCUCUAGAUCCGAAAAUUAUUUUCCAUUGAGGUUUAAUUCGCGCUUUAGAGGUCUCUUAACAGAUAUAAUGAUAAAAAUUUCCUCUUAUUUUGAUCGGUAAUUCACGUUUCUUCAAAGGCAUACAUCGCAGCUAAUUGUGCAAUAUUUAUUUGCAGUUACUUUUCAUAAACAGUGGUCGAGAACGUUCCUCUGAGUUUCCGAUCCUUUUUUUUUUGCCUCUUAUCUCGUUAUCCACGACAACUCAGUUGUAUUUGAUUAGUAAGUCGCCGGUCAAACUUAGUCCCAAACGCACCCUGAUGUGUGGAGUUGAGUUAAGAUAAAUACAAAUUUCCAUUUGUUUAGAAAACUCAAAUAAAAUUGUUUUCAAAAGAACAGAAGUGUUGUGCAAUUAGUUUCCCACGACAAAGAUAAGUCAACUGUACUUCUAAAUAAAAGCUAAUAAAAUAACUCGGAAUAUUUUGUCCUUCACGGAUUUGCUGCUACAUGCGUGAGCAGUUUUAAUCAUCAGUUUAACAUUACAUCUGUAGUCUGAACGUUUGGACGCGAAAAACUCUAGCAAAGAACUCCAGAAAGGACUGAAAAAUAGCUGAUGAAAAACGUUACAGUUCUAAGAAGCACAAUCAGCAACAGAUGAAAUAUUGAUAACGCUUCGAACCUUAAAACGAUUAGAACAAAGAACCCUUCGAGACCAAAGCAUCUGUUUAUCUUACACUAUACUUUUGUAUAUCUAAAGAAGUGAGCUGUUUGCAUAAGUAAU